AGUGGUUCGCCAGCCUCACUUAAAACUGGUGCAGACCGGGGGAUUCCGACUGUUUAAUUAAAACAAAGCAUCUCAAAGGCCCGCGGCGGGUGUUGAGGCGAUGUAAUUUCUGCCCAGUGCUCUGUAUGUCAAAGAAAAAAAAU
This 143-nucleotide microRNA precursor is filed under the name Echinops telfairi (small Madagascar hedgehog). RNAcentral's name for it is "miRNA (ENSETEG00000026521.1)". It matches the Rfam family "Eukaryotic large subunit ribosomal RNA", at positions 2089 to 2231 of the family's 3401-position model. Lineage: Eukaryota; Metazoa; Chordata; Mammalia; Afrosoricida; Tenrecidae. The record is from RNAcentral.